Molecule: long non-coding RNA, 400 nt
Filed under: Gossypium raimondii (Peruvian cotton)
Lineage: Eukaryota; Viridiplantae; Streptophyta; Magnoliopsida; Malvales; Malvaceae
Description: long non-coding RNA (GRAI_LNC010533)
Source: RNAcentral
UUGAGGAAACAUGCCACAGGCCUGUGACACUGUCGUGUGGCCCAACACAGGUCUUUACACAACUGUUUCCCCCUUUCUAACCCAGAAACCCUAAUUUUUUAUACUUUGUAUUCUUCCUCCCAACCCUUCAAAAAACCCUAGCCAUCGUUUUCUCCUUUCCUUACCAUUCCGGCCACCAUCGCACAUCUCCUUUUUCCUUUCCCUUCAUCGUCCAUUCUGUGAACCACAAACCCUUUCCCCUUUUCCCUUCCUUCUUCUUUUCCCUUUUUUCUGCGACCAAGCCCAUCGUCAUUUGUCCCUCAUCGCGCCUCUACGUCUUGUACCACAACUACAAACACCUCCCUCCCCUUCUUCCUUCCACCUCGUCCCCUCAUCGACCCGAUCUCCUUUUCCCUUCUCC